Molecule: ribosomal RNA, 689 nt
Filed under: uncultured bacterium
Lineage: Bacteria
Description: bacterial SSU rRNA
Rfam family: Bacterial small subunit ribosomal RNA
Source: RNAcentral
GAGGGGCAUCGGGAGGGAAGCUUGCUUUCCUUGCCGGCGACCGGCGCACGGGUGAGUAACACGUAUGCAACCUGCCCUCUUCAGGGGGACAACCUUCCGAAAGGGAGGCUAAUCCCGCGUAUAUCGGUUUCGGGCAUCCGUUAUCGAGGAUAGAUUCAUCGGAAGAGGAUGGGCAUGCGGCGCAUUAGCUUGACGGCGGGGUAACGGCCCACCGUGGCGACGAUGCAUAGGGGUUCUGAGAGGAAGGUCCCCCACACUGGUACUGAGACACGGACCAAACUCCUACGGGAGGCAGCAGUGAGGAAUAUUGGUCAAUGGGAGAGAUCCUGAACCAGCCAAGCCGCGUGAGGGAAGACGGCCCUAUGGGUUGUAAACCUCUUUUGUCGGAGAACAAAACCCGGGACGAGUCCCGGACUGCGUGUAUCCGAAGAAAAAGCAUCGGCUAACUCCGUGCCAGCAGCCGCGGUAAUACGGAGGAUGCGAGCGUUAUCCGGAUUUAUUGGGUUUAAAGGGUGCGUUGGCGGUCCGUUAAGUCAGCGGUAAAAUUGCGGGGCUCAACCCCGUCGAGCCGUUCAAACUAGCAGACUUGAGUUGGCGAGAAGUACGCGGAAUGCGCGGUGUAGCGGUGAAAUGCAUAGAUAUCUUUAAAAAAUCCGAUUGCGAAGGCAGCGUACCGGCGCCAGACUGAC